AUGUGGAAUAUCAAUUCAAUGGCUUCUAUUAAGAGAGUCAAAAACAAAACUUUAUCAUUUUUUUCUUUUACUAUUGCAGUAAGGGAAACAGAGCAUCUGACAGGCAAAAGGUCAUCUCUUUGGACACAUGUUCUCAAUUGUGAAAAGAAGAACAGGUCUUCUGUUUUUGUUGAUGCAAGGUUCCAGAGGGAGAUGCUUGAGCGGAACAAAUAUGCAUCUUUGUGUUCAUGGAUUACAGGAGCUAUAUAAGUGAGAAACUCCGAAUUUCUCCACAAGAAAGAAGAGUAUACCUGUAAUUUAAAGAUAAGUAGCUACUUCUUCUUCUCAUCCUCUGCUGCUUCUUUUCUUCUUCUUCUUCUUCUCCUUCUUCUUCUCUUCUUCUUCUUCUUCUUCUUCUUCUUCUUCUUCUUCUUCUUCUUCUUCUUCUUCUUCUUCUUCUUCUUCCCUUCUUCUUCUUCUUCUUUACUUCUUUUCUUCUUCUGCUUCUGCUUCUGCUUCUUCCCGAUUCUUUUGAAAUUGAGCACAGACCAGUAAAAGGCAAAAGACCAAGCUUGGUAAAUCUGAUAUGGUAAGAGGUAUGGUAAAAUUUUGAUGAGCAGAUAUUUUAGUGACUUUACUGUCUCUCAGUCAUUAUUUUUGCGUUCCAUUUUCUGAAAGCAAUCAGAGAACAAGAAGUGAUAGAAUUAGAUUAAUAAAUACUACAACUAGUACAAUUGACUUCCAAUCAAUUAAAAAAAUUGUAGCCUUUUCUACUUCAAGUCAACUAAAUAUAUCAUUUCAAUUCCAAAAAGAUAUGAUGAGGAGUAAUUUCCUCAGCCACUAAAAUGUUUAACCAUGGUUAUACUUCAUCUGUGUUCAAGUCUCUUGAAACUUUUAUCAAUUUUUUAUAAUGUUUAUAAUUAAUGUUUAUAAUUUUUUAUUCCAAUCACUAGGACAGAUUAACAUUUCUAAACUUGGUCUUACCAUCUCCCGAGAAUUGUACCCUAUUACUUUAGUUAUAUGCUACUGAAAUUUUAGGGAGCAAUUUGUUUUAUUUAAAGUAGUAUUCUUGAAAGUUAAUUGGAUUAAUCAAUGAAAAGACAAGAGUUCAUGUUGAUAUACUUGUCACUUUGGGCAAUAAAAAUAAAAUUUGAAAAUAUAAGUAAUUAAUUUGAUGAAAUUGUUAAUUGAAAUAUAAUUUUAGAAAUGUAGCCUUCUUCAAACUAUGAGUUUUAAAUUAAAGAUAUAUUCCUAUAGAAGAUACAAAGGAAAUGUGGUAUGUGGCUUAUUUCUGAACAAUCUUCACUUAGAGUAAGACUUAAUAUAUUUAGUAGAGUAGUGUAUAAAGAAGUACUAAGUUCAACAUUUUACUGCUAGAGUAUCUGAUAGAAAUAAGUGACAUAUAUCCUAUGGGAUUGUAGUACUAAGGCAGUAGUAAGUUGUUAGAAUAAAAUAAAAAAGAGAUUAAGAGGGCAAUGAGAAAAGGGCAAAAAUGGAGUCUAUGUGAUUGAGUGACUUUCCCAUAGCUAGAAGAUAAAGACUAGUUGAACAAGAUUUGUUUAUACGGACCUAUCAGUCCAAAAUUACCUGUCUUUAGGGAUAAGAAUGUCUUCUUCCCUCCCAGUACACAGAGGGUAUCUUUCACAUCUUACAAAGUCAAACAUUAAUUUUCAGAAGAAGUAUGGUCUGAAUUUUUAUGGAAGGAGGGAAUAAUUUUUUUCCCAAUUGGUUCAUAAUGAGCCAGGUAAUUUGAGUGAUCAGAAAAAUCUUGUAACUUCUUGAAUUUUCACCAAAAGAAAGGAGAAGCCUUUUUUACCCUGAUAUUUUGCAGAGUUUGUUGGAUACAAAGGAUUGUACCCCUUUGAAUCGCUACUUUUUUAACAUACUACUUAUAGAUCACUCAGUGUCUGAGCACAGCUAGUGAUUAAUUUUCCCCUUAAGAACUCAACCUUGUUUCAAAUUUCAAUAAUCCAAAGAAUCUUAUUUUUAUGUUAUCUAAGAUACUUAAAAUUUCUCUGAGAUAGUUUUAAAAUAAAUUUUAAUUAAAUCUAAGAUUAUUUAAGCCAUUCUAAAAAAUUAUUUUAUAUUGUCUUCAAAAUAUCCUCUUUUAACAAUCAAUAGAUCUUUCUUCUUAUUUCUACCAGAACUGUCCAUAUGAGAUUACUCUUUGUUCUAUGUAAAUAAAAUUAUCAUACUUACUCAUAUUCUUAUCUUUUCAAGCUGAACACCCUAAUUAACAAUGAAACUUUGCAUAAUAUUAUUUUCUAACCCACUCAUUAAUCUGGGCAUUUCGAGUUUUAAGAUUUCACAGUCCAUUGAACUCAUGAAUUCAGGUGUAUUCUGAGUAAGUAUAUAUAUAAUUUCCUGAGUCUGAAGUUGGUUCUAUUCUCUUACUGACAGAUGUUUACAUUUUUCAAUACCUUAUAUUAGCCUUUCUUGAUGCUUUGUUGUUCUUUCAUGCUAUAGAUUGCUUUUCUGUUAUUUUAGUUGAUGACUUCAUGAUGAUUCUCUUGGCUCAUUUUAUAGGAAAGAGGCCUGAAGUAAACAACAUUUGGACAGCUUAAAAAAUGUCGAAUAGGGUAGUAAAACAGAACCAAUUCUGAACUGAAUAUUACAAAAUGGAAUACUUACAACUAUAACUAAUAAUUGAGGAUUAUAAACAACUGUUUUUAAAAACCUAAUUGAUGGUAUUCCAGUGAAGAGCUUGACCAUAUCUUGAUCCCAACAAGUUGACUGAGACACAAAUGGAAAAUCAGAUAUUGGUGGGACGUGGGUAAGAAUCCAUGGUUUUGAAUAGUGAUAUCAUUCUCUUGGAUUUUGCCCAGGAGUGUGUCUGAGUUUCCUGCAGCAUCAGGAGAGGGAGAGAGACAACAUGACUUCUACCAAGAUUCUGCUGCUCUUGCUGUCAACAGUUUUGCUGGCCUUGGGCUCUGCUCAGGCCAUCGAUGACAGUAAGUUGGGGAAAUGGAAGAUCAUGUAAGCAUGUGGGUAAGAUUCAUAGAAAAGAGUAAGGUUGAAUUGAGCUUUCUCAGAAAUCAAGUACUUGAUAUUCCAAGAAUAGGUUUAUCAAAGAGGAGAGAACAUUAGUUUCUAUUUUCCACUGGUUGCAAAUAUCUCUCUGAAAUCUGGGACCUGAGUCUCAAUUAAGUAUCUUCAUGAGGUGACCUUUGCUAUACUCAGAAAUAUGGACUUUCACUUAUUCACUCUAUUUGCGUGAAAAAAAAAUUCUAGAUGGAGUGGAUAUUUUAAAAUUCAUCUAGAUAUCUCAUUUCCUUGUCAUUGAACAAUUGGCCAUUUACAAAUAUUGAGAAUUUGUAUUAAAUUUUCUUUAUUCCAUUAAAUAGAUAAGUGGGCACUAUUAAUUCUCUCCAUUGUAUUAACUUUUUAUUUUUUUAACCUCUAUGUCGGGUUUGGGAGCAAUAUGGCAGGCAUGUUGAGAUCUAGAAG
This 3426-nucleotide long non-coding RNA is filed under the name Canis lupus familiaris (dog). RNAcentral describes it as "lncRNA (ENSCAFG00030018482.1)". The record is from RNAcentral. Lineage: Eukaryota; Metazoa; Chordata; Mammalia; Carnivora; Canidae.